This 253-nucleotide ribosomal RNA is filed under the name uncultured bacterium. RNAcentral describes it as "partial 16S ribosomal RNA". It matches the Rfam family "Bacterial small subunit ribosomal RNA", at positions 524 to 776 of the family's 1533-position model. The record is from RNAcentral.
UACGUAGGGUGCAAGCGUUAAUCGGAAUUACUGGGCGUAAAGCGUGCGCAGGCGGUUGUGCAAGACAGAUGUGAAAUCCCCGGGCUCAACCUGGGAAUUGCAUUUGUGACUGCACGGCUAGAGUGUGUCAGAGGGGGGUAGAAUUCCACGUGUAGCAGUGAAAUGCGUAGAGAUGUGGAGGAACACCGAUGGCGAAGGCAGCCCCCUGGGUUAACACUGACGCUCAGGCACGAAAGCGUGGGGAGCAAACAGG